GUCAUUUUGAAAUUACAACUCUAUUCCUGAGGAGCAUAUAUGUUGACUAAAGAACACUUGUUGCCUUUGUAUGCAUACCACCAACCAAACACAGUGCUAGGUUUCCUUGCUUUGCUUGUAGAUGUACAGUAAUCUUGUAUCAUGCUUACACACUGCUUCCUACUUUCUAAGGGAUAGUGUCAUUGUUUUUGUUGACUACUGAACUCUUCAAAUUGCUAUAUUCAUUAUUUAAUUUCGAAAGGUUAUUUAGUUAUACAUGAUGGACAGAAUGUCAGGUAAAACAACAUUGCUUACUUUUGUAUGUAUACUUCUGUUUUUG
This 319-nucleotide unclassified non-coding RNA is filed under the name Hevea brasiliensis (rubber tree). Lineage: Eukaryota; Viridiplantae; Streptophyta; Magnoliopsida; Malpighiales; Euphorbiaceae. The record is from RNAcentral.